GGUACAAACCACAGCAGGUAAGGGACAAACACUCCCUGCAAACAGAGCUUACAGGAAGUUUUAUUAGAGGAAGACCCCCUUGAGGCAAUACACAGUGCCAAUGGGGACCACGUAUAAGAAUUAUUAACAGUUACAUAGCAAUUUUCAACUUUGGGCCCCAACAAGAAAAGAGAAAGCAUGCACUGUAUAUUAAAAUUAAUAAUAAAUAAAUGAUAGAAAAUAAAUUUCAGGCACUAAAACAUACAAUUAUUAAGCAAAAUAAUUGUGACAAUACAGAUGACAGGAUAUUUAUAUUUUCUCCAUGUUUUGUAUGUACCAAGUUGAAAACACAUUCAGAAAAAAAAAGGAAAUACAAUCAACCCCAAACAAAAAUGUUGUUAAUGGUGUCAUAGUAGGUUUGGAGCUGUAGGACACUGAGCUAAGCCAAUCAUUGCAUAGCAUCAUCCUAACCUGGCCAGUGUCAAGUAGGAGAAUGUGGUUCUUGGCCAUGGGAGAGGUUUUUCUUAUUUCAUUAAUGAAAAUAACUCAGAGUCCAAUAAUCUUCAUAAUUAGCAUCUAAUGUUUCUUCUAAGCCUUCUUAUUUUUGUUACUAUUAUGAACAAACAAAUGAUAAAAUCAUGAUUUAUGCUAUAUGGUGUGAUAGUCUGUUGAGGAUGUUGAGGCUGGGAUGUGAGUUCAUUUGGCUCUGUGGAAAGAAGACUCUGAUGUACUUUUAAUAAUGAACUUAUUCAUAGCUGAGGGGGUCUCCAGCCUCAGUGGACUGAAGUUCUUUCCCUAUGGUCAGGGCAUUUUACUUUUCUCAAUAUUUAUACUUUAGCCAGUUGGUUACCAUAUGCUCAGAACAACUUGAAUGAGGCUUUCAAAAAUAUGAGGCCAACUGCAAAUCUUGAUUCAUCAGGUACCAGUUAUGUCUAUUAACAGGCAUUACUUUAACAUGGUGAUAUCCCAUUCAAGGAGUUCAGAAACAACAGUGGCGACCCUCCUAUUCAGUUUUCUUUUUAAGUGACUUGGUGAUUGUUACAUUAGCUGUGUUGUCAGUAUAACUUUCUUUUUAUACAUUUAUGGUAUAUUUUAGAACACGGUGACCUGUGUAGAUGUUCAUUUUGACUUCAUUCAGGAUUAGUGGGCUUUGCUGGAUCCUUCCCAGAAGAAUCUCCUUAAAGAUGUGAUGGUGGAGACUAUAGGAACUUCACUGCUAUAGAGGGUUACAGGAUCACCAUGAAAACAGCAAGGCAACAGGUGUCAGACAUGGCAGAUAUAGCAGGAUGCUAAGAUCUCACAUCCUCAACCUGCAGAAUGAACCAGACAGUGGGAACUGGAAAUGGUAUGCAGAUGUCAAUUAUAAAACCAUACCCCCAGUGACAUAUUACCUCCAGCAGGGCAUCAUUUCCUUAAUCAUCUCGAAUGAUACCACCAACUGGGAAGUAUUGAUUUCUCUGACUUCAGAACUACAUGCUCGCUUUUUGUUAUAUGAAGCAGAUCAUGAUACAGAAAAACUGUAGGUAAGCCUUUAUCAGCCUCAACAUCUGGGUUAUAGGAAUGAAUGCUUUGAAAAGAAAAAUAGUCAUGAUUGGAAACGUUUAAUGAUUUUUGUUAAUUUUUAUUUUGUUAUGUCAGUGUGUCUUUAGAUAUGUGCAUGUUCUUAGAAUGGUAAAUCCUUUAGUCUUCAUGUAUUUAUUUUUAACAGAAAUCACAGAAUGUUGUCAAAAACCUCACCUUGAUUCUGGGCAGGGAUAUGUCUUAACUGCUUGACCCUGUCUUUAUCCCUCUCAAUAUUUUAGACCUUGGUCCUGGAAAUGAACUUUUAACUGCUUGAUCAUAUCUUUAGCCAUAUGGUAUUUUAAACCUUUAUAUGUCAUCUUGACAUUAGGAAACAGGGAGGAAUGAGAAAAAUCCUGUUCAUGUAAACAAUAUGGUAAAGAAUUUACAUAUCACAGUUGACUUCAGUUUCAAUGGAAAGAAUCUGUUUCAUCUAUUUCAUUCAAGUAUGAUGGCAGAGAUCACAGCAUUGUAGUUUCUGAUUUUGAAAGUUUUGUAUGAGGUAUUAAAAUGUCCUGUAUAUGUGGCAAAUCCACAUACUGAAGUUUAUUUGCUAGUUCAUGUAUUCCUUCAGUUUAUCUGCUGGUUCAGAAAUUCCUUCUUUGACUCUGUUCAUCUUCUGUUGUGCUUUCACUUGAUGAUAGGCAAUUUUUUUACUGAAAUGUAUAGAAUGGGUUGAUUAUUAUCUAAGUGGAUCAUUGUUUACUUAACUAUUAGGUAGUGUUAUACUUUUCACAUAAAGGUCUGUGAAAGGUUGAUGGCUUCUUGUUCCUGUUUUUUUUUAUGUUUCCACAAAUUCCCUUCAGACGUCAUUGUUUGUUAUCCAUCCUGGUUUGGAUGUCAGUACUUUGUCAUGGCUACCUUUGAACUCCUAUGUCUCAUGUUUCAUCCUCAUGAGUUCAAGACCAAGGGUAGAUGAUGUACCCCUGAUGUGUGCUCCUUUGUUGACAUGUUUCAACAAUGUUAAUAUUAACAUGCUUAAGAAGUUUAUUCUGAGUACUAAACUCUUGUGGCCCUGAUGUCCGCAAGAGCCAGGGAGAUGAAAUGCCAAGUUAAGGGAUGGUGUGAUGAGCCACCACAUCUGCUGUUCCCAUUGUAGGUAGGUGGUGUCUGAGAGCAUUGCUUGUUUUCUUGGUCACUGUUGUUGGAGAGGGGGAUAUUUAAGGACCAAGCUUUCACUGCACCUCUGAUGUCUUUUGUCACAGGAGCUCCAUGGCAGGUUUUUUAUCUUUCCACACUGGAAUGCUGAUGGAAUGACAGGGAGAGUCUUCACUGAAGACAAGACCUCAGCAGUUAGUGAGGAGAGGGGCUGAUGCCUGCCACCUAUCUAGAUAUGUGAGAAAGGCCUUGGCUACACUUUUUUGCCCGUAGGCUGACCCGACAGGGUCCCUGUGGUCAGAUGGGUAAGGAGUCACCUUUUUGUCCCUUGCCCUUCCUGGUAUGGUGAGCAUUCUUGGCUAAACCAAGGCCAUGUGUACUUUACCAUAGAUGCACCCAGGGGUAAAGGGGGCUCAGAGGUCCUCCACCCACACCCAGGCUGUUCUUGUUCCUCAGGGGUUCUGCAGUACUCUUUUUUGUAAGUUUGUAGCAUUAAACUAAUUUGGAAGAUGAAGUUGGCUUUGCCAUGCAACUCUUAAUGUGCUGGCUAACUGGCAUUUGAAGCUGGUAUGUUUUUUGAAUAAUUUGCCUUAUCCUAUUCUCAAAUUACAGCCGCCCCCGCACCUGUAACUGGCAUUAAUCCUUCACUCCUCCCGUCUCCUUUCCCCCUGCCUCCUCUUUCCCCUACUUCCAUCUGUCAUUUCCUCCUAAGUUUCCUUGUGUCCUUUCCCUAUCUGGCCCCUUGACCUCUGCCUUCUCCUCCCCCUUCUCAUGCCCUUCCCUUCCCUGUCCUCUGCUCAGGUACAUUUGAUGAAGUAACACUGAGUUCGUAUGUUCAUCUGUGCUGUCUUCCCCAAAACUGUCAAUGCUAGUGUAAAAGCAGCCAUUGUAGAAACUGUCCCACUGGACACCCCAAAUAAAAUCAAGACAAACAGGAGCUUGGGCUACUGCAUGUGCAUUUGAUAGUUAUUGAGUUUUCUAAUUUGAUUAUAUUUUUCUUAACAGAACACAUGCCAGAGAGUGAAGGAGGAAAUUAUCAGACUUGUAGGUGUGUAAACAGAAGACACAACCAGGAAGAAAGGUUACAAGAAAAGUAGAAUGCCCUGAAACCUUCCUCAACAGUGACCUCUUUGAAGAUCGCAGGAUUGAAGAAGAGAUAUGAUCCCAGAAAGGUAAGUAAACACAAAGUGGGUUAGAGUUGGGUUUAGAGUU
Long non-coding RNA from Mesocricetus auratus (golden hamster), 3849 nucleotides. RefSeq lists it as uncharacterized. NCBI's taxonomy places the organism in Eukaryota, Metazoa, Chordata, Mammalia, Rodentia, Cricetidae. The transcript is spliced from 3 exons. The record is from RefSeq and is a predicted model, not a curated record.